GACGAACGCUGGCGGCGUGCCUAAUACAUGCAAGUCGAACGCACAGUUUAUACCGUAGCUUGCUACACCAUAGACUGUGAGUUGCGAACGGGUGAGUAACGCGUAGGUAACCUGCCUGGUAGCGGGGGAUAACUAUUGGAAACGAUAGCUAAUACCGCAUAAUAUUAAUUAUUGCAUGAUAAUUAAUUGAAAGGUGCAAUUGCACCACUACCAGAUGGACCUGCGUUGUAUUAGCUAGUAGGUGAGGUAACGGCUCACCUAGGCGACGAUACAUAGCCGACCUGAGAGGGUGAUCGGCCACACUGGGACUGAGACACGGCCCAGACUCCUACGGGAGGCAGCAGUAGGGAAUCUUCGGCAAUGGACGAAAGUCUGACCGAGCAACGCCGCGGGAGUGAAGAAGGUUUUCGGAUCGUAAAGCUCUGUUGUAAGGGAAGAACGGGUGUGAGAGUGGAAAGUUCACACUGUGACGGUAUCUUACCAGAAAGGGACGGCUAACUACGUG
Molecule: ribosomal RNA, 505 nt
Filed under: uncultured bacterium
Lineage: Bacteria
Description: partial 16S ribosomal RNA
Rfam family: Bacterial small subunit ribosomal RNA
Source: RNAcentral